UCGAGCGGAAGGCCCUUCGGGGUACUCGAGCGGCGAACGGGUGAGUAACACGUGAGCAACCUGCCCCAGGCUUUGGGAUAACCCCGGGAAACCGGGGCUAAUACCGAAUAUGACCUUCUGCCGCAUGGUGGAGGGUGGAAAGUUCUUCGGCUUGGGAUGGGCUCGCGGCCUAUCAGCUUGUUGGUGGGGUGAUGGCCUACCAAGGCGACGACGGGUAGCCGGCCUGAGAGGGCGACCGGCCACACUGGGACUGAGACACGGCCCAGACUCCUACGGGAGGCAGCAGUGGGGAAUAUUGCACAAUGGGCGGAAGCCUGAUGCAGCGACGCCGCGUGAGGGAUGACGGCCUUCGGGUUGUAAACCUCUUUCAGCAGGGACGAAGCGCAAGUGACGGUACCUGCAGAAGAAGCGCCGGCCAACUACGUGCCAGCAGCCGCGGUAAGACGUAGGGCGCGAGCGUUGUCCGGAUUUAUUGGGCGUAAAGAGCUCGUAGGCGGCUUGUCGCGUCGACUGUGAAAACCCGCAGCUCAACUGCGGGCCUGCAGUCGAUACGGGCAGGCUAGAGUUCGGUAGGGGAGACUGGAAUUCCUGGUGUAGCGGUGAAAUGCGCAGAUAUCAGGAGGAACACCGGUGGCGAAGGCGGGUCUCUGGGCCGAUACUGACGCUGAGG
This 670-nucleotide ribosomal RNA is filed under the name Micromonospora sp. 452. RNAcentral's name for it is "bacterial SSU rRNA". It matches the Rfam family "Bacterial small subunit ribosomal RNA", at positions 62 to 751 of the family's 1533-position model. Lineage: Bacteria; Bacillati; Actinomycetota; Actinomycetes; Micromonosporales; Micromonosporaceae. The record is from RNAcentral.